AAAUUGGUGCUGUUGUACGAGAGCAAGAGAAAAAAGCUGCCUGGAAAACUGCACAGUUACAGUACAUUCGUGAGUCUGAGGAGAAGAAACGCCAGCGAAAUUUGCAAGUGGAGAAGAUGAAGUCGGAGAUGCUCAACUUACAAAUACAGCUUCACAGUACAGAUGCAAUUUCUGCUGCCACUCGUGGUGAGACUUCUCCUCCUAGUGAGGGUUUAAAGAGGCGGAGGAAUUUUUCAGCUCCGAAUUUAGAGGAAAG
Molecule: unclassified non-coding RNA, 256 nt
Filed under: Hevea brasiliensis (rubber tree)
Lineage: Eukaryota; Viridiplantae; Streptophyta; Magnoliopsida; Malpighiales; Euphorbiaceae
Source: RNAcentral